CCUACGGGAGGCAGCAGUGGGGAAUAUUGCACAAUGGGGGAAACCCUGAUGCAGCGACGCCGCGUGAGUGAGGAAGUAUUUCGGUAUGUAAAGCUCUAUCAGCAGGGAAGAAAAUGACGGUACCUGAUUACGAAGCCCCGGCUAACUACGGGCCAGCAGCCGCGGUACUACGUAGGGGGCAAGCGUUAUCCGGAUUUACUGGGUGUAAAGGGAGCGUAGACGGCAGCACAAGUCUGGAGGGAAAUGCCGGGGCUUAAACCCGGAACUGCUGUUGAAACUGGGCAGCUAGAGUGCAGGAGAGGUAAGUGGAAUGCGUGGUGUAGCGGUGAAAUGCGUAGAUAUUAGGCAGAACACCGGUGGCGAAGGCAGCUUACUGG
This 377-nucleotide ribosomal RNA is filed under the name uncultured bacterium. Its description in RNAcentral is "partial 16S ribosomal RNA". It matches the Rfam family "Bacterial small subunit ribosomal RNA", at positions 338 to 732 of the family's 1533-position model. The record is from RNAcentral.